CCUACGGGAGGCAGCAGUAGGGAAUAUUGGUCAAUGGGCGAGAGCCUGAACCAGCCAUGCCGCGUGCAGGAAGAAGGCCCUCUGGGUUGUAAACUGCUUUUGACAGGGGCCAAAAUACUCAUGCGUGAGGAAUUGAGAGUACCUGUAGAAUAAGCACCGGCUAACUCCGUGCCAGCAGCCGCGGUAAUACGGAGGGUGCAAGCGUUGUCCGGAUUUAUUGGGUUUAAAGGGUGCGUAGGUGGCCUUAUAGGUCAGUGGUGAAAGCCUGCAGCUUAACUGUAGGACUGCCAUUGAUACUGUAGGGCUUGAGUACUGAUGAGGUAGGCGGAAUUGAUAGUGUAGCGGUGAAAUGCAUAGAUAUUAUCAAGAACACCGAUUGCGAAGGCAGCUUACUAAGGAGUUACUGACACUGAGGCACGAAAGCGUGGGGAUCAAACAGGAUUAGAUACCCUGGUAGUCCACGCCAUAAACGAUGAUUACUCGAUGUAUGCGAUAGAUAGUAUGCGUCCAAGCGAAAGCGUUAAGUAAUCCACCUGGGGAGUACGACCGCAAGGUUGAAACUCAAAUGAAUUGACGG
Molecule: ribosomal RNA, 577 nt
Filed under: uncultured bacterium
Lineage: Bacteria
Description: bacterial SSU rRNA
Rfam family: Bacterial small subunit ribosomal RNA
Source: RNAcentral